RNAcentral lists this small RNA (143 nucleotides) under Escherichia coli. RNAcentral describes it as "Short Intergenic Abundant RNA". It matches the Rfam family "Short Intergenic Abundant RNA". From Rfam's summary of the family: This family contains multiple ncRNA from E. coli that were identified in a large scale screen of E. coli, were they were called candidates 43,55 and 61. These RNAs have also been identified by other groups and called QUAD RNAs. The record is from RNAcentral. Lineage: Bacteria; Pseudomonadati; Pseudomonadota; Gammaproteobacteria; Enterobacterales; Enterobacteriaceae.
UUGACAAUCUGACCGUGAAGGCAUACUUUCAGGAGUGAGGGUAGAGCGGGGUUUCCCCCGCCCUGGUAGUCUUAGUAAGCCGGGAAGCUUAUGACUAAGAGCACCACGAUGAUGAUCCACUUCAUCAUGACCCAUUCCUUAUU